UUUCUCUGUGAUAACUCCAGCUGUGUCAAGUUGACACAAAACUAGCCAGUACAAGCAUGAACACUCAUAUCAUAGAUAGAUAGAUAGAUAGAUAGAUAGAUAGAUAGAUAGAUAGAUAGAUAAUGACAAAAGUUUUCAGCACAGUAGGAGAUAGUUUUUGGUUUCUAUUUAGAAAACAAAGGAACCUUAAAUUUUGAGCCCUUGACUAUGAUAACAGUAGCCAGUGCUGUACCAAGGCUAGAUUAAUAGUUUAUCAGAAUUCCUCUGAUCAGUUAUGUUAAACUCAGAACUUUUGAAGUCUUAACAUCAGAUAACAUCUUUAAGUCUUGUGUUUCACAUGCCUUAAAUCGCUUCCUCAGACCUCCUCAGCCUGCAUUUAUAUAUCUUAAAUCAGGUCCUUAGACUUUCACAACUUAGAUUUACAUACCUCAGAUCAUUUCCUUAGACAUUCACAUCUUUCACCCAUGUUUCUGAAAUCACUUCCUAGACCCACACAGCUUGUAUUUACCUAUCUCAAAUUACUUCCCUGGACCCUUACAAUUUACAUAAACUUUAUUCAAUCAUUUACCAUGCGACCCAGGGGGUUGAUUACUGAGAGCAGUCAUUGAAAAGCAAGUUCAUUUAAAUAAGGGAAAAUCGUAAAGAGUAGAUUUUUAGUUAGAGAUAGUAGUAUGAUAUCUGGAGUUUGUUUUUACACUGAAGUUUGUUGUGGGAGUCUCUUUUUUACUGUGUAGCCUGUAAGAGAGGUAAAACUGUCAUGUGUCUGCCUUUCUCAGCAGGAGACCUAGUUGCUCUGGUAAAGCAAGACCUGAUUUUUUUACAUCUGAAACAGAUUGACCAGCCAGCCAGCUGCAGACUUGCAGGGGGGUGGAACUCACUAAAAAGUAGGCUUACUGCUGCUAAACUGAUGAAGCUCAGGCUAGCCAUCAACACCAUCACAGGUCUGAGAAGGAUAAAUUUGAGCACGAAUAUAAUCUAAGUGGCCUCUGUAUUGGUUAAAAUGGCAGAGACUAACUGGACUGACAGCCUGAACUUGUCCAUGGUGAUCUCUAUGACUUGCUUGGGGUCAAAGGUCACCAAUUUUUGACUAUCACACAGGACAACAUCAAGUCUUCAGCUACCAGACCCAGAAUAUUUGAGAGAUUUUCCUAUGGAGGACAAGCCUGGGAAAACUGACCUGUCUUGGUGACGUUGAGUAGAGCAGUCAGCCAGCUCUGUCCCCAACUUGGGCAGCAUCCAGGUGGCAAGCAAGGCAUCCGAUUGAGCAGCUCUUUGCCCAGUAGUCAUUAUUACUUCGCUCCAGUUGGAGCUCCUUGCUAACCAUCUUCUUUGGACACCUACGCUUGUUCUCUGUGUACAUAAAUAUGAAUGAUUUAAGAAGCCGGGUGGUGGUGGUGCACGCCUUUAAUCCCAGCACUUGGGAGGCAGAGGCAGACAGAUUUCUGAGUUCGAGGCCAGCUUGGUCUACAAAGUGAGUGCCAGGGCUAUAGAGAGAAACUCUGUCUUGAAACAAACAAACAAAC
This 1523-nucleotide long non-coding RNA is filed under the name Mus musculus (house mouse). RNAcentral's name for it is "long non-coding RNA chr3:59269785-59271308". The record is from RNAcentral. Lineage: Eukaryota; Metazoa; Chordata; Mammalia; Rodentia; Muridae.